This 485-nucleotide ribosomal RNA is filed under the name uncultured bacterium. RNAcentral's name for it is "bacterial SSU rRNA". It matches the Rfam family "Bacterial small subunit ribosomal RNA", at positions 8 to 526 of the family's 1533-position model. The record is from RNAcentral.
AGAGUUUGAUCCUGGCUCAGAACGAACGUUGGCGGCGUGGAUUAGUCAUGCAAGUCGUGGGAAUCCCAGCAAUGGGGGAACCGGCGUAAGGGGCAGUAAGGCAUGGGUACCUACCCGGGGGUUGGGCAUAGCCCGUAGAAAUACGGGGUAAUUCCCAGCGAUGUCGCAAGACCAAAGCUCCGGCGCCCCCGGAGGGGCCCAUGUGGUAUUAGCUAGUUGGUGAGGUAACGGCUCACCAAGGCGAAGAUGCCUAGCGGGUGUGAGAGCACGACCCGCGCCACUGGCACUGAGACACUGGCCAGACACCUACGGGUGGCUGCAGUCGAGGAUCUGUGGAAAUGGGGGCAACCCUGACCGAGCGACGCCGCGUGCGCGAUGAAGGCCUUCGGGUUGUAAAGCGCUGUCGAGGGGGAGAAAAGCCGAAAGGCGUGAUCUAUCCCUGGAGGAAGCACGGGCUAAGUUCGUGCCAGCCGCCGCGGUAAUUC